RNAcentral lists this small RNA (75 nucleotides) under Xanthomonas codiaei. RNAcentral's name for it is "sX9 sRNA". It matches the Rfam family "Xanthomonas sRNA sX9". Lineage: Bacteria; Pseudomonadati; Pseudomonadota; Gammaproteobacteria; Lysobacterales; Lysobacteraceae. The record is from RNAcentral.
AUGUAGCACUCGUACAUUCGGUUCCCGUGCGCCAUCCGCACCCGCCCGACGAUCGCUCGCCAUGGGUUGUGAGGC